Molecule: non-coding RNA, 20 nt
Filed under: Gadus morhua (Atlantic cod)
Lineage: Eukaryota; Metazoa; Chordata; Actinopteri; Gadiformes; Gadidae
Also listed under: 11 other names
Gene: gmo-miR-27d-3p
Source: miRBase by way of RNAcentral
UUCACAGUGGCUAAGUUCCG